RNAcentral lists this long non-coding RNA (706 nucleotides) under Sorghum bicolor (sorghum). Its description in RNAcentral is "long non-coding RNA (SBIC_LNC017777)". Lineage: Eukaryota; Viridiplantae; Streptophyta; Magnoliopsida; Poales; Poaceae. The record is from RNAcentral.
AAAUCAAGAUUUCACUUGCACGUUCACUCAUAUAUGCUACUUCUACUCCGGAAGUACCAUCCACAUAUAUCCACUCGUUUCCAUCUCCAGAAUCACCUAAAAAUAUUCUACUCCUAAUCCGGGAGAGAAUACCCAAACAUAUUUUUGUUUUUCCCUUGUGAAAUAAAUGCUCAAGUUAUCUUGUUACUACCACUUGCUACAUUAUUUCAAGAGAUGAGUGCUCUGAAAAAAAACGAGGAAAUAAAAAGGAGCAAGUGCUCGGAACCUCGAAAGAAAAGAAAAGUGAGACCAGAGGUAAAAAUGGACAAGUGUCCGACACUAGAAUUAGGGGUACAAGAUACCCACCUGAGAGAAAAAAAAAUAUAUAUAGAGCAUCUCAUUCUCCUCACAAAGUUUCAAAAAGCAAGAAAGGUAUGUAUCCCCUCAAAAGAGCAAAAGAAGAAUUAGACUUCCAUCACCAUUGUUUUCACCAUUGUUAUCACCAUCAUCACCAUACACCAUUCAUUCGGCACACAUGCACAUCUUGAUUUGGCUUAUUGAUUUGUUUUUUUGGAUCCAUGGUUUGACUAUGCAAUACAUGUCUUGUAAGUAUGUAUAUUUUAUCUCCCACCUAUGAGCUCCAGAUAUUAAAGCCUUAUUAGAGUAGGGUGAGGGAGAAGGCAAUGUUACUAUGCCUUAUACCACAAAUACGACAUAUCUUGAGAGA